RNAcentral lists this ribosomal RNA (253 nucleotides) under uncultured bacterium. Its description in RNAcentral is "partial 16S ribosomal RNA". It matches the Rfam family "Bacterial small subunit ribosomal RNA", at positions 524 to 776 of the family's 1533-position model. The record is from RNAcentral.
UACGUAGGGUGCGAGCGUUAAUCGGAAUUACUGGGCGUAAAGCGUGCGCAGGCGGUUAUGUAAGACGGUUGUGAAAUCCCCGGGCUCAACCUGGGAAUUGCAUCUGUGACUGCAUAGCUAGAGUACGGUAGAGGGGGAUGGAAUUCCGCGUGUAGCAGUGAAAUGCGUAGAUAUGCGGAGGAACACCGAUGGCGAAGGCAGCCCCCUGGGUCAAGAUUGACGCUCAUGCACGAAAGCGUGGGGAGCAAACAGG